UAACGGGAAGAACCUUACCAGGUCUUGACAUCUUCUGCUAACUUAAGAGAUUAAGCGUUCCCUUCGGGGACGGAAUGACAGGUGGUGCAUGGUUGUCGUCAGCUCGUGUCGUGAGAUGUUGGGUUAAGUCCCGCAACGAGCGCAACCCUUAUUGUCAGUUGCCAGCAUUUAGUUGGGCACUCUGGCGAGACUGCCGGUGACAAACCGGAGGAAGGUGGGGAUGACGUCAAAUCAUCAUGCCCCUUAUGACCUGGGCUACACACGUGCUACAAUGGACGGUACAACGAGUCGCGAAACCGCGAGGUCAAGCUAAUCUCUUAAAGCCGUUCUCAGUUCGGAUUGUAGGCUGCAACUCGCCUACAUGAAGUUGGAAUCGCUAGUAAUCGUGGAUCAGC
Molecule: ribosomal RNA, 395 nt
Filed under: uncultured bacterium
Lineage: Bacteria
Description: bacterial SSU rRNA
Rfam family: Bacterial small subunit ribosomal RNA
Source: RNAcentral